Long non-coding RNA from Lepisosteus oculatus (spotted gar), 797 nucleotides. RefSeq lists it as uncharacterized. NCBI's taxonomy places the organism in Eukaryota, Metazoa, Chordata, Actinopteri, Semionotiformes, Lepisosteidae. The record is from RefSeq and is a predicted model, not a curated record.
GGACCCAUCUUCGCUUUGAAAUAGCGAGUUUGGAAGCAAAAACGGUUUUAAAGUUAACCGUUUCACAGGAAUUGCGGGAUUCCGGGCGAAGUUUGUCACUUUUUUUCGGGGCGGGUGGUAAAUGUAAUAAAAUGGGGUUUAAUGGUAACAAUUUCGAAAUCGUUGGAGCUGCUGGCUAAGUUUUGUGGCUUCGACUCUGCGAAGAGAAACGUGGUAUUAAAAUAGUGCCUACAACUUCUUUACGUUGCUAAUUUCAUAUUUCAUAGCUUUAAAUAGACAAUACACUUUUUUUUUUGGUUUGUAUUCAAACCUUCUACUGUAUAUUGGUGAGUCUCUGGGCUUUAAACAGCAGCUUUUUUUUUAUCCUUCACGGCGUGGCCUGGAGACCUGAUCGCAGACCCACCCGUGUACCGAGUGACUGGAUCUCCGCGGCGGAUUCACAGUUUGCAGGAAGUCGUACCGACCGCUCUGCUUGGAUUGAAAUGGGAGGGAGACUCGUAACAGACUGCAAGAAACUGCACCCAGCUGUGCGAGACCCGCAACCGAGUAAAGCAAUGGACCAGGAGAGCAGCGAGAUAUCGCUAUCAGCCGGGACCCCAGCCUGCACAGGCCAGGAGGCCAGAACCGCCCCGUAUUUAUAACCUGAGUCCUGCUGAGCGCGAAAAGGACGACAAAGCAUGAAAUAAACCUUUACUACUUCUCAUCUGAAAAGAAGGGGCAAUCGGGAACCAAAAUGGAAGAAGAGAAAUAGUCCCCAUAUCUGCAGGUCUCACACAAUGAGAACCCCUGGGUACCGC